GUACGACUCGGUCGGGAAGGUGGGCAGCGACGUUCUUGACGGAAACGUGGACAGGCUGGGCUCUUAUAGCGAGUGUCUCUCCGCCCGCGCCCCGGCCGGCCGCUUCCGGGGCCGCUACUGCAAGCUUCACUUCGCGCAGAGCCACGACGGAACUGACUACAGCGUGGGGGUGUGUGUGCCCGAUUCUUGCACUGAAGAAGACGUGAGUGCCAUGACUCAGAUGGAUAUUUUAAGGUUCAGAAAGGCUUCGUUCUGGGCUCCUCCGCUCCCUCUCUUUGCAAUGAACACUUCCUCCUCGUCUGGUCGGGGUGUGGCCCGGUGCGCCACUGGAUUGUUCCCCCUGGACACGUUUGCGGCCCUGAGUCUGUGAGUGCAGACCGCCCAGGCCCCGGGCUGCCAAGUGUGUGCUGGGCUGUUUCAUCAGCUGCUGCUCACCAUCUGCGCUCGGCUACUUCAUUUUCAUUCAUUGAAUGACAUCUGUGCGCUGCUCUCUGCUACCUUAACAAGAAAAUUCGAAUGUGUUCCAGAGGA
Molecule: long non-coding RNA, 531 nt
Organism: Cervus elaphus (red deer)
Lineage: Eukaryota; Metazoa; Chordata; Mammalia; Artiodactyla; Cervidae
Exons: 3
Source: RefSeq, a predicted model, not a curated record